GUUUCAUCCAAUUUGAAGAUAAAUUGACCUUCCAUAAUUGUGAUUUACACGAACGGUUCCAUUUGGAUAGAUUUUGUUCAUUUGAUUCAUUUAAUCUAAUUCGGUACCCAAAUAAUCUCCAAAUUGGAUGAAACUUUGCAUAAAUGAUCUACAUACUAUGUUCUAGACACUGAAUGGUGGAGAUGUAAAAAUGUGACCUAAAAGUGAGCAAACUGAUGAGCACCACACUUUAAUUUCAAAGCGGUGUCCCACUCUGGAAGGGAACUGUAUAUAUAUAUAUAUAUAUAUGUAGUUCCCUUUCAGAGCGGUACUCCCGACUUAAAAUUAAAGUGUGGACCUUCUUAUUUACUCACCUUCAAGUUACGCUAUUUCCACAUCUCGAACCGUACAAUGUCUAGAACAUAGUGUGUAUAUCAUUCAUGCAAAGUUUCAUCUAAGUUUGGAGAUCAUUUGGGACUGAAUUAGAUUAAACUAAAUCAACAGGAACAAAAGUUUCCAAAAGAAAACCGUUCGUAUAAAUCACGAAUUACAGAAGCUCAAAUGAUUUUCAAAUUGGAUGAAACUUUGCAUAAAUGGAUUUACACGACCGUAGUUUUAGACAUGAAAUUUGGAGUUGUGAAAAUGCACCUGAAAGUGAGAGAAAUAAGGAGGUCCANACUUUAAUUUCGAAAGUGGGACACCGNUCNGGAGGAACUGUAUAUAUAUAUAUACACACACACACACACACGCACACACACACACAGUUUCUAUCUAGUACGGAGCCCCGCAUUAAAAUUAAAGUGUGAGGCUCCUUAUUUGGAUCACUUUCCUGUCACUAUUUCUCAUCUCCACCGUUCAGUGUCUAGAACAUAGUGUGCAAAUCAUUUCUGCAAAAUUUCAUCCAAUUUAGAGAUUAUUUGGGUACCAAACUAGAUUAAAUGUAUCAAUAAAACAAAAUAGAUUCAAAUGGAACCGUUCUUGUAAAUCAUGAAUACGGAAGCCCAAAUAAUCUUCAAAUUAGAUGAAAAUUUGUAGAAAUAAUCUACACACUAGUAUCUAGAUAUUAAACAAUGCGGAUGUGAAAAUGUAACCGGAAAUUAAGUGAUCUAAAUAAGGAGUCCCACACUUUAAUUUCAAAGCGGGGCUCCGCUUUGGAUAUAGAAACUUUAUAUAUAUAACCAACAAUAUAUAUGCAAAUGCUUUUUAUUUAUUUUCUAUCAAAAGGACGUAAGACCUUAUAUUUAAUAAAAAGUAGUAAAAGAACAUGAACACAAUUCGUCCGCAAUGGCUACGUAAGCCUAGAAUCAUGCAAAAUUACUUAGAAGUACUUGAGCAAUUUCUAUGUUAUGAUGGAGGAGACUGCCCUAACUUAAAAAAAAAAAAAAAAAAAACCUUAGGAGCACCCUACGCAGAGGGGUCAGGCAUCCUUAAGAUCCAACCUACCUAAAAAGCCAUUGAAGCACUAAUGUUCUAAUUCAAACAAAAUUAGCCCAUAAAGAAACAAGAGGCCCAAGCCCCCAAGACAAUUUUGGAACCCUAGCAAACUAGGUCUAAAACUUAGACCUAGAAAUAUGUUAUCGUCGGUCACCACUCGCAAUAUAGGCAGUCACCGCCGCAGCGUCAUCAGUCACUAUAGUGCCAUUGACACUGACAAAUACCCGGAAGAUGUCAUGGAGGUCAGCGACCCCAGAUGUAUAAUUGCUGCCAUAAUUAACCACUACUAACCCAACCAAUGACACCGUCGUCAGAUACCAUCCCACCGUCGUCAACCUUCACGGCCUUAAUCAAGCCGCUCUCCAAACCUGACAUGUUCUUCCCAGAGCAAGAACAAAUCAUGUCCACCAAAUGUAGCACAAGGGAAACUUGAGGAUUCCAUUGCGCUCUGACCACCAUUCGGCUUGCAACCACGGUCACCACAAGGGGGAUCCAGCCACCAUGGGACCUCGCCACAAUGACAACCACUCGGUUCCUCCACCACGCAUGCAAAGAAUCGAAGAACCCAUAAUGAAUCUGCCUCCCACGACGCCACUAUAACCAGGAGAUGAGAGCAAAUAGGUGUCUGCAACAACUGCCUGAAUCUAGCUAUGGUUAUCAUCAUCAAACACGCCGUCGCCAUCGCUAUCACUAAACCUACCGCUAGAGAGGAGGCCUAGAGUUAGAGCGAGAGAGAGAGGAGACUAGCCAUAGAACACCAAACCGGUUUUCUUUUAGUAUGCAAUGGUUAAUAAUGAACUUCUUCCAAACAAAGUAAACUAUUAAACAAGAUAUUUUUAAGAAGAAUAGAAGUGAUGAAGUGAAAGUAAAUUGAGAAUAGAGAAUCGUGAAAGAUGUGUAUCUCAUCAUUGAUAGGAGCCCUUUAUAUAGGGAAUUACACAUUACCAGUAUGGUAAGGAUAUGAAUACAUAGAUCUAGUUUAACUACAUAUCCUAUUGGCAUAAGGCAAAGGCACACAUAAAGAAUAUCUAGAAAGAUAUGGAAUAUCCUAGAACACUCCCCCUUGUGCCGCGCAUUGAUAUGCCAAUGGUGCUAAUCUGUUGCCUCGUCAAAAACCUCGUCAAGUCACAAAAACCCUGUGGGAGAAAAACUGAACCUUGAUCGUAGGAGAAAAAGAGUACAACGCACCGGCCUACUUCAUUGAGAUGAUACUCCCCCUGAUGUGAACAUUAUUCAGAGAGACUUGAUAGCCGACGCAUGCCUAUACUUUUCACAUGUUUCUCAAAAGUAGACUUAGGUAAGGACUUAGUAAAUAAGUCUGCUGCGUUUCCUUCGGAACUAACUUGGUUCACUUGAAUGUUGAGAAACGCCUGUUGCUGUUGGUUGUAGAAGAACUUAGGUGAAAUGUGCUUUGUAUUAUCACCCUUGAUGUAACCUAACUUCAUUUGCUCAAUACAAGCUGCAUUGUCCUCAUAAAUGCAUGUAGGUCUAUCAGUUGUAGAACUUAAUCCACUAGUUCCUCUAAUGUGCUUAAUGAUUGAUCUCAACCAAACACAUUCCCAAACAGCUUCAUGCAAAGCUAUAAUCUCUGCAUGUUUGAAGAUGUCGCCACUAGAGUCUGCUUAGUAGACCUUCAAGAUAUCGCCAUAUUUCCAAUGGUGAAAACAUAACCAGUUUGAGAACGUCCUUUAUGAGGAUCAGAUAAAUAUCCGGCGUCGGCGAAACCCACCAACGUAUUGUUGGGUGUCUCGGCAUAGGACAAGGCGGCGGUGGCGUGCACGGCAUUGGACCCGUGUCCAGCAGCCGUACCGGCGGCGUCCAUGGCGGCAGUCCGGUCCCUUGGUGGAUCGGUGCCGUGUCUUCCAUGAGCCAUAGGACCAUCUUCUGUCCUUCUUGAAUCAGUGUAGGGAAAGAACAGUCCCAAAUCAAUGGUACCUUUAAGAUAUCGAAAGAUGUUCUUAACUCCGAUCCAAUGACGUUGGGUUGGCGCUGAGCUAAAUCUAGCUAACAAGUUGACUGAGAAUGCAAUGUCUGGUCAAGUGCAUUGAGCUAAGUACAAUAAAGCGCCUAUUGCACUAAGGUAUGGAACCUCUGCGCUCAAGACCUCUUCGUUGUCCUCUUUCGGACGGAAUGGAUCUUUAGUUAUAUCCAGACUUCGACCAAUCAUGGGAGUGCUAACAGGAUGCAUCUUGUCCAUAUUAAAUCGCCUGAGCAUCUUUUGGACAUAUGCAGUCUGAUGGAUAAGGAUCCCACAGACUCGGUGCUCUAGUUCAAGACCUAGGCAAAAACGAGUCUUCCCAAGAUCUUUCAUCUCAAACUCGGAUUUCAGCUAAGCCGCGGUCUCUUUGAUUUCAUCAAGAGUACCGAUAAUGUUCAUGUCAUCGACAUNNNNN
This 3806-nucleotide long non-coding RNA is filed under the name Fragaria vesca (wild strawberry). RNAcentral's name for it is "long non-coding RNA (FVES_LNC003100)". The record is from RNAcentral. Lineage: Eukaryota; Viridiplantae; Streptophyta; Magnoliopsida; Rosales; Rosaceae.